GCCAGGUGUAGUGGUGCACACCUGUAAUCCCAGCUACUCGGGAGGCUGAGGCAGGAGAAUCACUUGAACCCAGGAGGCAGAGGUUGCAGUGAGCACUGCACUCUAGCCUGGGUGACAGAGCGAGACUCUGUCUCAA
RNAcentral lists this small RNA (136 nucleotides) under Macaca fascicularis (crab-eating macaque). Its description in RNAcentral is "Metazoan signal recognition particle RNA (ENSMFAG00000062834.1)". Lineage: Eukaryota; Metazoa; Chordata; Mammalia; Primates; Cercopithecidae. The record is from Rfam by way of RNAcentral.